AACCAGCCCCUGAGUGGUAAGGACGAUUAUUUGGCCUAAAGCGUCCGUAGCCGGCCCGGCAAGUCCCCCGUGAAAUCCGGCGACUCGAUCGUCGGGCGUGCGGGGGAUACUACGGGGCUUGGGGACGGGAGAGGUCGACGGUACUCCAGGGGUAGGGGUGAAAUCCUAUAAUCCUUGGAGGACCACCAGUGGCGAAGGCGGUCGACUAGAACGUGCCUGACGGUGAGGGACGAAAGCUGGGGGAGCGAACCGGAUUAGAUACCCGGGUAGUCCCAGCUGUAAACGAUGCGGGCUAGGUGUUGGGGUAGCUACGAGCUACUCCAGUGCCGCAGAGAAGUUGUUAAGCCCGCCGCCUGGGGAGUACGGCCGCAAGGCUGAAACUUAAAGGAAUUGGCGGGGGAGCACCACAAGGGGUGAAGGCUGCGGUUU
This 429-nucleotide ribosomal RNA is filed under the name uncultured archaeon. RNAcentral's name for it is "bacterial SSU rRNA". It matches the Rfam family "Archaeal small subunit ribosomal RNA", at positions 474 to 903 of the family's 1478-position model. The record is from RNAcentral.